AGUGAACGCUGGCGGUACGCCUAACACAUGCAAGUCGAACGGCAGCACAGUAAGUGCUUGCUCUUACGGGUGGCGAGUGGCGGACGGGUGAGGAAUACAUCGGAAUCUACUUUUUCGUGGGGGAUAACGUAGGGAAAAUUACGCUAAUACCGCAUACGACCUACGGUUUAAAGCAGUGACACUUCGGACCUUGCGCGAUUGUAUUAGCCGAUGUCGGGUUAGCUAGUUGGCUGGGUAAGGGCCCAGCAAGCCGACGCUGCGUAGCUGGGCUGAGAGGAUGAUCAGCCACACGAGAACUGAGACACGGUCCAGACUCCUAAGUGAGGCAGCAGUGGGGAAUAUUGGAGAAAGGGCGGAAGCCUGAUCCAGCCAUACCGCGUGGGUGAAGAAGGCCUUCGGGUUGUAAAGCCCUUUUGUUGGGAAAGAAAAGCAGCAGGUUAAUACCCCGCUGUUCUGACGGUACCCAAAGAAUAAGCACCGGCUAACUUCGUG
RNAcentral lists this ribosomal RNA (492 nucleotides) under uncultured bacterium. Its description in RNAcentral is "partial 16S ribosomal RNA". It matches the Rfam family "Bacterial small subunit ribosomal RNA", at positions 29 to 507 of the family's 1533-position model. The record is from RNAcentral.